UACGAAGGGGGCUAGCGUUGUUCGGAAUUACUGGGCGUAAAGUGUGCGCAGGCGGCGUUGCAAGUCGGGCGUGAAAUCCCACGGCUCAACCGUGGAAGUGCACUCGAAACUGCGUAGCUAGAGUCCUGGAGAGGAAGGUGGAAUGCUUGGUGUAGAGGUGAAAUUCGUAGAUAUCAAGCGGAACACCGGUGGCGAAGGCGACCUUCUGGACAGUGACUGACGCUGAGACGCGAAAGCGUGGGGAGCAAACAGG
Molecule: ribosomal RNA, 253 nt
Filed under: uncultured bacterium
Lineage: Bacteria
Description: partial 16S ribosomal RNA
Rfam family: Bacterial small subunit ribosomal RNA
Source: RNAcentral